CUGGGCCCAGAUGCCAGGAGUCCAAAGAGAACACUGCUGAUGACCGGUGUAGGAAGAGAGGAAUCGCUUUUGUGUCCUUCCUCAAGAGGUUCUUCUCAAGGUUCCAAAGACCUGGGAGCAGCACACCACCAUGCCCAGAUUUAAGUUUACAGGUAUUUUCUUUUUUUAUAAUUGAGAGAGAGAGAAUCUCAAAAAUUGUUUGGUUUUUUUUUUUUAAUUGCCCAGCCUGACCUGACCUUGAAUUUACUAUGUAACUUAAGCAGGCAUGUACAUAUAUUUGUGUAUAUGGUUUUUAGUCUU
This 300-nucleotide long non-coding RNA is filed under the name Cricetulus griseus (Chinese hamster). RNAcentral describes it as "lncRNA (ENSCGRG00015033359.1)". The record is from RNAcentral. Lineage: Eukaryota; Metazoa; Chordata; Mammalia; Rodentia; Cricetidae.